Molecule: unclassified non-coding RNA, 407 nt
Filed under: Hevea brasiliensis (rubber tree)
Lineage: Eukaryota; Viridiplantae; Streptophyta; Magnoliopsida; Malpighiales; Euphorbiaceae
Source: RNAcentral
AAUAAAAUUUAAGGACUAAAUUAUAAAUUACCCAUCUUUAAUCAAGUAUUGAAAUUAAAUGAAAAAUAUAUAGCUAGUUUCUUUUUAUAUAUGGGAUUAUAACUAGGUUCCAAUUUGUAAUUUCAUAAUUCUAAAUCUAAGCUUUUAAGUUUGGUAAGCAAUUUGACAAGAUUAUUUCCCUUAAUCAAUAGACAUCAAUGAAGGAGUGGAAAAUGUACCAAAAAAUUUAUUUAAUACAACCGUUGUAUAUGUAAAUAAUAAAUAAGAUACACUAGUAUAGUUAAUCUUUAAAUAAAGUUACAAUAAAAACGUUUCGAGUUCGAAUACUUUCAUCUACUAAUUACGAGAUUUAUUACGAGUUAUCAAAAGGAGAGAUCAUUAUGCAGGAUAUUUUAGAGUUCUUUAAG